UACGUAGGUGGCAAGCGUUGUCCGGAUUUAUUGGGGUUAAAGGGUGCGUAGGCGGCUUUAUAAGUCAGUGCUGAAAUAUCCCGGCUUAACCGGGAGGGUGGCAUUGAUACUGCAGAGCUUGAGUGAAGUCGAGGUAGGCGGAAUUGACGGUGUAGCGGUGAAAUGCUUAGAUAUCGUCAAGAACACCGAUAGUGAAGACAGCUUACUAGACCUCAAAUGACGCUGAGGCACGAAAGUGUGGGGAUCAAACAGG
RNAcentral lists this ribosomal RNA (253 nucleotides) under uncultured bacterium. Its description in RNAcentral is "partial 16S ribosomal RNA". It matches the Rfam family "Bacterial small subunit ribosomal RNA", at positions 524 to 776 of the family's 1533-position model. The record is from RNAcentral.